Molecule: ribosomal RNA, 467 nt
Filed under: uncultured bacterium
Lineage: Bacteria
Description: partial 16S ribosomal RNA
Rfam family: Bacterial small subunit ribosomal RNA
Source: RNAcentral
GACGAACGCUGGCGGCGUGCUUAACACAUGCAAGUCGAACGGAAAGGCCCUGCUUUUUUGGGGUGCUCGAUUGGCGAACGGGUGAGUAACACGUGAGUAACCUGCCCUUGACUUUGGGAUAACUUCAGGAAACUGGGGCUAAUACCGGAUAGGAGCUCCUGCUGCAUGGUGGGGGUUGGAAAGUUUCGGCGGUUGGGGAUGGACUCGCGGCUUAUCAGCUUGUUGGUGGGGUAGUGGCUUACCAAGGCUUUGACGGGUAGCCGGACUGAGAGGGUGACCGGCCACAUUGGGACUGAGAUAAGGGCCAGACUCCUAAGGGAGGCAGGAGUGGGGAAUAUUGCAAAAUGGGCGGAAGCCGGAGGGAGCAACGCCGCGUGCGGGAUGACGGCCUUCGGGUUGGAAACCGCUUUCGCCUGUGACGAAGCGUGAGGGACGGAACUGGGUAAAGAAGCACCGGCUAACUACGG